This 447-nucleotide ribosomal RNA is filed under the name uncultured bacterium. Its description in RNAcentral is "bacterial SSU rRNA". It matches the Rfam family "Bacterial small subunit ribosomal RNA", at positions 355 to 825 of the family's 1533-position model. The record is from RNAcentral.
UGGGGAAUCUUGGACAAUGGGCGCAAGCCUGAUCCAGCCAUGCCGCGUGGAUGAUGAAGGCCCUAGGGUUGUAAAAUCCUUUCGUUGGGGACGAUAAUGACGGUACCCAAAGAAGAAGCUCCGGCUAACUUCGUGCCAGCAGCCGCGGUAAUACGAAGGGGGCUAGCGUUGUUCGGAUUUACUGGGCGUAAAGCGCGUGUAGGCGGGUCGUUAAGUUGGGGGUGAAAUCCCGAGGCUCAACCUCGGAACUGCCUUCAAAACUGGCGACCUGGACUCAAGUAGAGGCAAGUGGAAUUGCGAGUGUAGAGGUGAAAUUCGCAGAUAUUAGGAAGAACACCGGUGGCGAAGGCGGCCCACUGGUCCGGUACUGACGCUGAGGUGCGAAAGCGUGGGGAGCAAACAGGAUUAGAUACCCAAGUAGUCCCUGAGCGGGCUGGCAAGGCGCAU